AGUCGAGGGGUAUAGGCUUUCGGGCCUAGAGACCGGCGCACGGGUGCGUAACGCGUAUGCAAUCUACCUUUCACAGAGGGAUAGCCCAGAGAAAUUUGGAUUAAUACCUCAUGGUAUAUAGGAGUGGCAUCACUUUUAUAUUAAAGUCACAACGGUGAAAGAUGAGCAUGCGUCCCAUUAGCUAGUUGGUAAGGUAACGGCUUACCAAGGCGACGAUGGGUAGGGGUCCUGAGAGGGAGAUCCCCCACACUGGUACUGAGACACGGACCAGACUCCUACGGGAGGCAGCAGUGAGGAAUAUUGGUCAAUGGGCGCAAGCCUGAACCAGCCAUGCCGCGUGCAGGAUGAAGCAUCUAUGGUGUGUAAACUGCUUUUGUACGGGAAGAAACAGAGGUUCGUGAACCUCCUUGACGGUACCGUAAGAAUAAGGAUCGGCUAACUCCGUGCCAGCAGCCGCGGUAAUACGGAGGAUCCAAGCGUUAUCCGGAAUCAUUGGGUUUAAAGGGUCCGUAGGCGGUUUAGUAAGUCAGUGGUGAAAGCCCAUCGCUCAACGGUGGAACGGCCAUUGAUACUGCUAGACUUGAAUUAUUAGGAAGUAACUAGAAUAUGUAGUGUAGCGGUGAAAUGCUUAGAUAUUACAUGGAAUACCAAUUGCGAAGGCAGGUUACUACUAAUGGAUUGACGCUGAUGGACGAAAGCGUGGGUAGCGAACAGGAUUAGAUACCCUGGUAGUCCACGCCGUAAACGAUGGAUACUAGCUGUUCGGAGNCAUCUGAGUGGCUAAGCGAAAGUGAUAAGUAUCCCACCUGGGGAGUACGGGCGCAAGCCUGAAACUCAAAGAAUUGACGGGGGCCCGCACAAGCG
RNAcentral lists this ribosomal RNA (864 nucleotides) under uncultured Bacteroidota bacterium. RNAcentral's name for it is "bacterial SSU rRNA". It matches the Rfam family "Bacterial small subunit ribosomal RNA", at positions 60 to 931 of the family's 1533-position model. The record is from RNAcentral. Lineage: Bacteria; Pseudomonadati; Bacteroidota.